RNAcentral lists this ribosomal RNA (250 nucleotides) under uncultured bacterium. Its description in RNAcentral is "partial 16S ribosomal RNA". It matches the Rfam family "Bacterial small subunit ribosomal RNA", at positions 524 to 773 of the family's 1533-position model. The record is from RNAcentral.
UACGUAGGGCGCAAGCGUUGUCCGGAAUCAUUGGGCGUAAAGAGCUCGUAGGUGGUCUGUCGCGUCUGCUGUGAAAACCUAGGGCUUAACCCUGGGCCUGCAGUGGAUACGGGCAGACUAGAGGUAGGUAGGGGAGAAUGGAAUUCCCGGUGUAGCGGUGAAAUGCGCAGAUAUCGGGAGGAACACCGGUGGCGAAGGCGGUUCUCUGGGCCUUACCUGACACUGAGGAGCGAAAGCGUGGGGAGCGAAC